GCAAGUCGAGGGGCAGCAUUACCUUCGGGUAGAUGGCGACCGGCGCACGGGUUCGUAACGCGUAUGCAACCUACCUAUCACAUAGGGAUAGCCUCUAGAAAUGGAGAUUAAUACCUAAUGGCAUCUAAGUGUUGCAUGACACUAAGAUUAAAGAUUUAUCGGUGAUAGAUGGGCAUGCGGGACAGUAGCGAGUGGGUAAGGGAACGGAGGAAAAAGGCAACGAUGUAGAGGGGAGCUGAGAGGAGUAGA
RNAcentral lists this ribosomal RNA (249 nucleotides) under uncultured bacterium. Its description in RNAcentral is "partial 16S ribosomal RNA". It matches the Rfam family "Bacterial small subunit ribosomal RNA", at positions 57 to 303 of the family's 1533-position model. The record is from RNAcentral.